Molecule: long non-coding RNA, 765 nt
Organism: Lolium rigidum
Lineage: Eukaryota; Viridiplantae; Streptophyta; Magnoliopsida; Poales; Poaceae
Exons: 4
Source: RefSeq, a predicted model, not a curated record
UGUAGCAACCCUGUUAAAGAUAAAUGCUAUAGUCAGCUAACUUUUAUCCAUGCAAUUUUUAAUAAAGACAAUCAAAAGAAUAACCAGGGAAAAGAUACUGAAAAUGUUUGCAUCAUGUGGUAAAUUUGUGUAUUAUUACCAUGAUCAUGUUUUGGCGAAUACUCCAGGUAGACUUUAUACUCCUUUUCAUGGAACUCAUUUUCCCUGGAACUGAUUUUCGUCUGGCUGCUGUUUUAGAACCAUCUGUCUACCUGGUGGCUUCCUCAAAAUGAUAUGGCCAUUGCCGCACCAAAUUAUCCAUGUGCAUGUCUACGUGAUGUACAUCCAGUUUAAUCCUGUCAAUGAGAAGUGGGUUGAUGUGUUGUCCAAAUUGCAUGUCGAUGAUGAGUGGGCAGAGGAGUAACACAUGAUGAAAAUUCCAAUGGCUAACAGAAGAUACAAGCAUCAGGGGCUGUGAAGCCCAUGAGGCGUGAGCGGUUUGGGACGUCGACGGCAGCGAUGACGCCCGGGCGGCCAGUGUGGCAGAGGAGGAUACUGAUGGGGAUGCGGUGUGAGCUGCCGCGGUUCAGCGGGCUCAUACUGUACGAUGAGCAAGGCUGAUGCCUCCAUCCCGGCACUCUGGGCAGAAGAAACCAUCUCCAGGGUUGUUUGGCUAGAGCCGGAAACGAACAUUGCGGAGGUGAGCAGCAAAAAAUUGUCGGCGCCCAGGAGCGGAGCUGUGUGCUGGAGAUCAAGGGGACACUCGUGUGAUGGGCAGCGAUGAAG